This 108-nucleotide ribosomal RNA is filed under the name Tamlana crocina. Lineage: Bacteria; Pseudomonadati; Bacteroidota; Flavobacteriia; Flavobacteriales; Flavobacteriaceae. The record is from RNAcentral.
UAAGGUGGUUAUAGCGACGGGGCUCACCUCUUACCAUUCCGAACAGAGUAGUUAAGCCCGUUAGCGCCGAUGGUACUGCAUUUGCGGGAGAGUAGGUCGUUGCCUUUU